RNAcentral lists this long non-coding RNA (1977 nucleotides) under Bos grunniens (domestic yak). Its description in RNAcentral is "lncRNA (ENSBGRG00000021641.1)". Lineage: Eukaryota; Metazoa; Chordata; Mammalia; Artiodactyla; Bovidae. The record is from RNAcentral.
AUGGGCCAGCCCCACAGCUCUGCAGGCAGAGACCCUCCUGGAGGCAGGGCGUGGGGGUGGGCGGCAGGGUCAGAGCCAGGCACUGGGGCUGUGUUACUACCUGGGGACCCCAGGACCCGGGGCAAGGGCUGUGACCGCUCUGAGCCUCAAUCUCCCCUCAGGACACAGGACGUUCAGCGGGGCCCACAGCCCGUCAGCCCCUUCCCACAGGGACCCAGGGGGGCAGGGGGCCAGCCUCCACCCAUCACUCAGCAGGCUCUGAGGGCCACCCCUGGUGACUGCUGCGGAGCGGAGUCCCCCACAGGCCUGGAUGGCCAGAGUGCCCAAGAGGCUCCUGGGCUGUGGGCGGCACUGACCACGGACCGCCCAGCAAGGUCACACCAGACCUGCCCCGCCCUCUGCAGGAGGGGCCCAGCUCGGGCAGACAGGGAGGACACAGGGCCGGGUAGGGGCCAACUACCACAGCGGGCACCCCUGUGGCCAUGGCUGCAUCAGGAGAACCGACAGGAGCAGCCGCCCACGGGCACAACACAGCUGCUGCCCGGAGCCCGCCGGCCGGCCAGACGCAGCCCCUGCAGACGCCCCACACCCGGGCAGGCACCUGGUGACACGGGAGACCAGGAAGUGCUGCACGGCGGGGCUGUCCACCAUGGCCAGGGCGGCCCCAGCCCAGGCCCGGCACUGCUCCUGCGCCUGCGCCCAGGACGCCUUCUCUGCCCGCAGGCUGUAGCAGUGCCCAUUGCCGGGGAAGAUCUCCGUGUCCGAGGGGCAGAGCGGGUGCACCACUGGGGGCAGAGGGCAGAGACGGGCGUCAGUGUGUGCCCGGCCCGGGCAGUCCGCCCACCUGACGCGGCCAGGGCGGGCCCCACCUUGGGCUGGCUCCUCUCCCAGGGCCACGAUGCUGUAGGCGGCCUCCAGGCCCGAGCCGCCGCGGUUUCGGACGCCGAGCUGCAGGGUCUCCUCACUGUGCACCGAGGCCACACAGACGAGCUCCAGGGCAGCGGGGGCUGCCUCCACCCGCACCUCCACCCCCAGCCGGGCAGAGCCCACCCCCAGGGCCAGCACGGCCGUUACGGGGUAGCGGCCGGGCAGCACAUAGCGGUGAGUGGCGUCCGGGCCCGUGACAUCCACCUCCGGGGAGCCAUCACCGAAGUCCCAGUGCGUGGAGCUGACCGGCAGCGAGGCAGUGACAUGGAAGACUGCGGGCUGGCCAGAGGCCAGGGGUCCUUGGGGCCCCAGCAGAGUGGCCCCCGGGGAGGCAGGGAAGACGUGCUGGAGGAGGCUGGGCCCCCGGCAGGCAGGGGCAGGGGGCAGGGAGGGGCCGGAGCAGGAGGGCAGGCAGGCGGAAGAGGCGUUGGGGGGCCGAGCCGCCCCGCACAGGCACCGGCCCUGCUCCGAGAGGGCUGCGAGGGCCUGGCCAGCCGCGAAGCAGAGGGCGCUGCAGGCCUCAGGGGCCAGUGGGCCCUCGGGGGCAGCCAAGAAGGCCACCAGCGCCACGGCGCCCGAGCUGUCGUCAGGGACACAGGCAACAUACUCCUCACCUGCAAGGGCGGGCAGGCCGGUCCCAAGGGUGCGCCCCUCACCCCACCCCAUCCCAGACUGCAUCACCUCCGAGCCCUCCCGACCCCUCCCCAGUCAGUAACUGCCCCCCACCCGAGAGGACCUGCAGGGGUCCCACCUGGCCACUCAGCCAUGCCCCCUGGCACACUCACCACAGGCUCCAUCCAGCAGCGCUCCGCCAAGCAGCGGCUGACCAGCCAGGGGGCCAGGCCCGGCGCACGUGGCCGCCUCGGGCCGCACCACGCGGACCCGUUGCCCCUCCACCCAGCGCGGCAGCCAGGCCAGACCGCAGUCACACUCGAGCGGAUUCCCGCCCAGACUUCUGUAGGGGGUGGGGCAGGCUCAGCGGGCAGCGCGGGGCCCCCAGGCCCAGCCACCCACAGCCAGCAAAACCAUCGACACUUACAUUUCACUUAA